GCGCCAUUAGCUCAGUUGGUAGAGCAAUUGACUCUUAAUCAAUGGGUCGCCGGUUCGAAUCCGUCAUGGCGCACCA
This 76-nucleotide transfer RNA is filed under the name Mycoplasmatota bacterium. RNAcentral describes it as "Tenericutes bacterium (marine metagenome) tRNA-Lys". It matches the Rfam family "tRNA". From Rfam's summary of the family: Transfer RNA (tRNA) molecules are approximately 80 nucleotides in length. Their secondary structure includes four short double-helical elements and three loops (D, anti-codon, and T loops). Further hydrogen bonds mediate the characteristic L-shaped molecular structure. tRNAs have two regions of fundamental functional importance: the anti-codon, which is responsible for specific mRNA codon recognition, and the 3' end, to which the tRNAs corresponding amino acid is attached (by aminoacyl-tRNA synthetases). tRNAs cope with the degeneracy of the genetic code in two manners: having more than one tRNA (with a specific anti-codon) for a particular amino acid; and 'wobble' base-pairing, i.e. permitting non-standard base-pairing at the 3rd anti-codon position. The record is from RNAcentral. Lineage: Bacteria; Bacillati; Mycoplasmatota.